RNAcentral lists this ribosomal RNA (467 nucleotides) under uncultured bacterium. Its description in RNAcentral is "partial 16S ribosomal RNA". It matches the Rfam family "Bacterial small subunit ribosomal RNA", at positions 28 to 507 of the family's 1533-position model. The record is from RNAcentral.
GACGAACGCUGGCGGCGUGCUUAACACAUGCAAGUCGAACGGAAAGGCCUCUUUCGGGGGGUACUCGAGUGGCGAACGGGUGAGUAACACGUGAGUAACCUGCCCUUGACUUUGGGAUAACUUCAGGUAACUGGGGCUAAUACCGGAUAGGAGCUCCUGCUGCAUGGUGGGGGUUGGAAAGUUUCGGCGGUUGGGGAUGGACUCGCGGCUUAUCAGCUUGUUGGUGGGGUAGUGGCUUACCAAGGCUUUGACGGGUAGCCGGCCUGAGAGGGUGACCGGCCACAUUGGGACUGAGAUACGGCCCAGACUCCUACGGGAGGCAGCAGUGGGGAAUAUUGCACAAUGGGUGGAAGCCUGAUGCAGCAACGCCGUGUGCGGGGUGACGGCCUUCGGGUUGUAAACCGCUUUCGCUCAUGACGAAGCUUUGUGUGACGGUAGUGGGUAAAGAAGCACCGGCUAACUACGUG